This is a non-coding RNA of Camellia sinensis, 2136 nucleotides long. NCBI's taxonomy places the organism in Eukaryota, Viridiplantae, Streptophyta, Magnoliopsida, Ericales, Theaceae. The record is from RefSeq and is a predicted model, not a curated record.
GUGUCAUCCAAAGAGGAAGCUAAGGGAACAACCAAGCAGUGCAACUACAGCUUGAAUCAGCCACAACAACCUCAUUGGCAUCACCAUACAAGAAGUUCAACCGGUGAUGCCGAAGUUCCAAUCUUCGGUUAAAUGAAGCCACACUUGCUGCUGUAGCAAAUAGAUCCAUGCAAAUUUCUCAAGCACUGUAUUGUAAGCGCUAUGUAGUCGGUACAUGCUGUCUCAACUAAACAGAGAUGCACAUGUCAGAUUUCAUGGAGUACGUGGACCUCUUUAAAUGUGAGGACAAAUUGGCAAAGUUUGCCUCGUUCAGAAAGAAAAUUUUGUUUAUGAACUGGGCCAAGCUUUUGCUACUAUCGGUAUUGUGUCAUUAGGAGUGUGGAUGUCUUCUUUGCUUUCUACUUGAGUUUUCAAGCCUGACUUUGUAAAUAAAUCCUCACGGAUUUCUAAUAUAUUUUGUGUCUAGAUAUAUUCUGUAAUUGUACAUGUAUCACAUUUUAUUGCAUUGUUUUUUAUUUUUAAUUUUGUUUUCAAACUUAGUAUAUUUAUUAUUUUAAUAAACAUCAAUUAUUAGUUCUUAAUAAUUGUUUAUGACAGGUAUUUUUUUCAACCAUAUAAAAUUAGCACAACUUCAAAAAUAAAAAUAAAAUAAAAAAAAGGCUAUGGCGGCGUUUUUUGAACGUCACUAUAUCCCUAUUCCAACGGUUAGAUUUUUAAAAUGUAUAAAUGUGUUUGACGGCGUUUCAAAACGUCGCUAAAUGUUAUAGUGAUGUCACAGUACAGUUAGGGUAGGACAUUUGGCGGUGUUUUUAAAAAUGCCGCCUAUACUAAUGUACCGACGUUUUCCAAACGCCAUAAAGCUAUAGCAACGGCCGCUCUUUGGCGUUUGGUACUAAACGUCACAAAAAGAAUUAGCGACGUUUUCAGUACCUAUAGUGGCGUUUUAAAAGUCGAUUUUCCUGCAGUGGAAGAAGAUAGCACUACUAUAGUUUGGUUUCCCUAUAAUGAAUUUGGAAAUAACAAACAAGCCCUCCAUGCCACACUAAUUAUGAAUUACAACAAUGAAUUUAAUCAAAAAAUAAUAUAUAGAUUGGAUUUAUUAAUGUUUUUCUUCUCCUUGGGUUUGGUUCCUCACCAAACUCCUGGGGUGUGCUAGCUUGCUGCUCUCCCCCUCCUUUUUUGAUGUAAUCUCUUUUUUGUAUGGUUUUUGCAUCAAUAAAGAUUCUCUUUUUGCUGAUCAAAAAAUGUAGUAAUUAUGUUUAUUAAUGUUCCAGUUAGCAUUUUCAUUGACAAUAACAUCAUACACUCUUAUUAAUUCACUCUUGGCUUAGCAGCCAAGGAUUUUAUCAUUGUAUGAAGCAAUGCCCUUGGCCAAUAUGGUUCGACACAUGUAAAAAAAUUAUAAAACGUUUUUUUUUUUUUUUUGGGUGUCUCUUUACCAUUGGCAUUUAUCCACUAUAUGCAUUAAUUUUUCAUCCUUACAGUUUUUUUUGGCAGUCUGAUUAAUCUAUUGCUUGGAGCCCAUAUUUGCAAUGCAAAAAUGUAAUUUUAAGCAGAUGAGUGGUGUUUGCUGAUGUCUUCCUAGUUGAUCGUGAUAUUGUAGACAUUUCUCAAUGAGCAAGAAUUUCACAGGCAAGAUUCAUUGAAAUUCAGAAUGACAACCAUUAUGAUGAAAACAUACAAAGAAUACUCAUUGUUGUCAAAUCAAUUCUCCCUAGAUUGACAACAAUCGUUUUUUGUCCAUGAGGAUCCAUCCCGUCAGAAACCAUCAUGCUUUCUACUCCUACUAGGCUAUAUGAACAAGAUGGGAAUCAUUCACAAUGAGUCCAUAAGAAGUGAUCCCAUUUUUUCGUCUAGUUCGGAUAGAUACCAAAGAUCUUGAGCCAACCCAUUCAGCUGAAUAUUACUUAAAAAGAUGAAAGAAGUAUCGGUAAUUUCUUCAUGCUCAUUCCAAGCUCAUCUCAACUUGGUUUGCCUACUGUGGCAUGUAUUUUACUAGUUGCUACCAAAUAUGAAAGUGCCAAAUUCUGGAUAUUCCAAUCACUGAAUUUACUUUUAAGAAGGUAUUUGAUCAUUGUUGUUGUUUCUUGGUUGGAAGAUAUAUAUAAUAAUGGUAUAUUUCAAUUUUUGGCUUAA